Molecule: ribosomal RNA, 468 nt
Filed under: uncultured bacterium
Lineage: Bacteria
Description: partial 16S ribosomal RNA
Rfam family: Bacterial small subunit ribosomal RNA
Source: RNAcentral
GACGAACGCUGGCGGCGUGCUUAACACAUGCAAGUCGAACGGAAAGGCCCUGCUUUUGUGGGGUGCUCGAGUGGCGAACGGGUGAGUAACACGUGAGUAACCUGCCCUUGACUUUGGGAUAACUUCAGGAAACUGGGGCUAAUACCGGAUAGGAGCUCCUGCUGCAUGGUGGGGGUUGGAAAGUUUCGGCGGUUGGGGAUGGACUCGCGGCUUAUCAGCUUGUUGGUGGGGUAGUGGCUUACCAAGGCUUUGACGGGUAGCCGGCCUGAGAGGGUGACCGGCCACAAUGGGACUGAGAUACGGCCCAGACGCGUACGGGAGGCAGCAGUGGGGAAUAUUGCACAAUGGGCGGAAGCCUGAUGCAGCAACGCCGCGUGCGGGAUGACGGCCUUCGGGUUGUAAACCGCUUUCGCCUGUGACGAAGCGGGAGUGACGGUAAUGGGUAAAGAAGCACCGGCUAACUACGUG